Molecule: transfer RNA, 66 nt
Filed under: Neurospora sp. IMI 360204
Lineage: Eukaryota; Fungi; Ascomycota; Sordariomycetes; Sordariales; Sordariaceae
Description: tRNA-Thr
Rfam family: tRNA
About the family: Transfer RNA (tRNA) molecules are approximately 80 nucleotides in length. Their secondary structure includes four short double-helical elements and three loops (D, anti-codon, and T loops).
Source: RNAcentral
GCCCGCAUGGGUCAGUGGUAGAGCGCAUCACUAGUAAUGAUGUCAGUUCGAUUCUGGCUGUGGGCA